Molecule: ribosomal RNA, 467 nt
Filed under: uncultured bacterium
Lineage: Bacteria
Description: partial 16S ribosomal RNA
Rfam family: Bacterial small subunit ribosomal RNA
Source: RNAcentral
GACGAACGCUGGCGGCGUGCUUAACACAUGCAAGUCGAACGGAAAGGCCUGCUUUUGUGGGGUGCUCGAGUGGCGAACGGGGGAGUAACACGUGAGUAACCUGCCCUUGACUUUGGGAUAACUUCAAGAAACUGGGGCUCAUACCGGAUAGGAACUCCUGCUUCAUGGUGGGGGUUUGAAAGUUUCGGUGGUUGGGGAUGGACUGGCGGCUUAUCAGGUUGUUGGGUGGGUAGUGGCUUACCAAGGCUUUGACGGGCAGCCGGCCUGAGAGGGGGACCGGCACCAUUGGGACUGAGAUACGGCCCAGACUCAUACGGGAGGCAGCAGUGGGGAAUAUUGCACAAUGGGCUGAAGCGUGAUGCAGCAACGCCGCGUGGGGGAUGACGGCCUUCGGGUUGUAAACCGCUUUCGCCUGUGACGAAGCGUGAGUGACGGUAAUGGGUAAAGAAGCACCGGCUAACUACGUG